RNAcentral lists this ribosomal RNA (465 nucleotides) under Vreelandella stevensii. Its description in RNAcentral is "partial 16S ribosomal RNA". It matches the Rfam family "Bacterial small subunit ribosomal RNA", at positions 338 to 795 of the family's 1533-position model. Lineage: Bacteria; Pseudomonadati; Pseudomonadota; Gammaproteobacteria; Oceanospirillales; Halomonadaceae. The record is from RNAcentral.
CCUACGGGUGGCAGCAGUGGGGAAUAUUGGACAAUGGGCGAAAGCCUGAUCCAGCCAUGCCGCGUGUGUGAAGAAGGCCUUCGGGUUGUAAAGCACUUUCAGUGGGGAAGAAAGCCUUGGGGCUAAUACCCUCGAGGAAGGACAUCACCCACAGAAUAAGCACCGGCUAACUCCGUGCCAGCAGCCGCGGUAAUACGGAGGGUGCGAGCGUUAAUCGGAAUUACUGGGCGUAAAGCGCGCGUAGGCGGUCUGAUAAGCCGGUUGUGAAAGCCCCGGGCUCAACCUGGGAACGGCAUCCGGAACUGUCAGGCUAGAGUGCAGGAGAGGAAGGUAGAAUUCCCGGUGUAGCGGUGAAAUGCGUAGAGAUCGGGAGGAAUACCAGUGGCGAAGGCGGCCUUCUGGACUGACACUGACGCUGAGGUGCGAAAGCGUGGGUAGCAAACAGGAUUAGAUACCCUGGUAGUC